Molecule: unclassified non-coding RNA, 115 nt
Organism: Microcebus murinus (gray mouse lemur)
Lineage: Eukaryota; Metazoa; Chordata; Mammalia; Primates; Cheirogaleidae
Rfam family: Y RNA
About the family: Y RNAs are components of the Ro ribonucleoprotein particle (Ro RNP), in association with Ro60 and La proteins. The Y RNAs and Ro60 and La proteins are well conserved, but the function of the Ro RNP is not known.
Source: Ensembl
GUCUGGUCCAAAGAUAGUGAGUUAUCUCAGUUGAUUGUUUACAGUCAGUUACAGAUAGAACUCCUUGUUCUACUCUUUCUUUCCUUCUCACUGCUUCACUUGACUUCAGUCUGUA